CCUUCCCCUUCGGGGGACAAAGUGACAGGUGGUGCAUGGUUGUCGUCAGCUCGUGUCGUGAGAUGUUGGGUUAAGUCCCGCAACGAGCGCAACCCUUAAGCUUAGUUGCCAUCAUUAAGUUGGGCACUCUAAGUUGACUGCCGGUGACAAACCGGAGGAAGGUGGGGAUGACGUCAAAUCAUCAUGCCCCUUAUGAUUUGGGCUACACACGUGCUACAAUGGACAAUACAAAGGGCAGCGAAACCGCGAGGUCAAGCAAAUCCCAUAAAGUUGUUCUCAGUUCGGAUUGUAGUCUGCAACUCGACUACAUGAAGCUGGAAUCGCUAGUAAUCGUAGAUCAGCAUGCUACGGUGAAUACGUUCCCGGGUCUUGUACACACCGCCCGUCACACCACGAGAGUUUGUAACACCCGAAGCCGGUGGAGUAACCUUUUAGGAGCUAGCCGUCGAAGGUGGGACAAAUGAUUGGGGUGAAGUCGUAACAAGGUAGCCGUAUCGGAAGGUGCGGCUGGAUCACCUCCUUU
RNAcentral lists this ribosomal RNA (523 nucleotides) under Staphylococcus aureus. Its description in RNAcentral is "bacterial SSU rRNA". It matches the Rfam family "Bacterial small subunit ribosomal RNA", at positions 1011 to 1533 of the family's 1533-position model. The record is from RNAcentral. Lineage: Bacteria; Bacillati; Bacillota; Bacilli; Caryophanales; Staphylococcaceae.